CUCUUUGAAUACACAUUUUUUUAUCUUCAUUUCCUUUCAGAGACGAAUGGAAAUAGAGAAAUUAAAUAAAUUCUUACCAUAAGUUAUUCGAUAUGUUUGGAACCACAUGAUAACUUUAUGAGGAAAUUAUCAUGAUUGAAUUGAUGAUUAUCCAAAUUGGAGGAUGGCGAGAAUUCUGGUUCUUUGGAAUUCUGGGUUACAAUUUUAUUCCUCUCUUCAUGAUAACGAACAAGAAAAGAAAAGUUUUCUAUUAGUUUUGCAAUCUUACUAUUCACCAUUGGAUCUCGCUGGAAGACUCAGUUGAAUUUUCCUUUGCUCUAUCAUUAUUUACAAUUGAACGAUUCCUGAAAUUUUCCUUUUACCUUUUAAUUGAUUAGUUUGUUCAAUUUUGUUGUGAAAAGUGAUUCUUACAAUGUUAUACAUCUUCAAACAUUUACCUGAACAUAAAUCGAUUUUGCGAAAUGAAAAAGUUAACUCAAAUUCGAACCACCAGAUGGCGAUGGUGAAGCAUAAAGAAAAUUUAAAAUUUUCUUCAAUUUGAAUUCUAAUUAAUAGUUGAGACAAUUUAAUCUCUUAAAUGUUUUGAUUAGAUGAUUUUUGUCUAAUUCUUUCUAAUUGAUAAAUUGGUAGGAAUAUGAUGUUGGUCGUUUGUGGACAGAUUUGCUCUGUAAUUUGAUCUGAAUUUCAAUUAGAAAAAAGAAAAUCAUUUUUUUCUCUUGAAAGUGUCAAUUGAUUUGUGAAACAAAAGUGAAUUGGUUACAUAUUUUGAUUCAUCAUUUUCCUCUUCCUUUUUUUUUGUAUCAUCAAUAUAAUCAUCAGCUUUUCAUGACAAUCAUCUUCAUCUUCCAUAAUCAUCAUCAUCUCUUUAUCAAUUUCCCUCAGGCAUUUGGCCCUCAUCUUUUUGGUUCAACUCUCAAUUCAAAUUGAUCAUUCAUCAAACAUCAUGGCUCUUUUAAUAUGUAAUAUACAUUUACAUGGAUGAGUACAGUUAUUAUCAUGAAGAAGAUGAUGAUUAUCAUUACUAAUAUUUGAUAAUCAUCAUCAUCAUCAUCAUAUUCACCAAAGUUUUACCACAGAAAUUGAUGAUCUAUCUCCCUUUUCUGUUUCCACUUUCAGGACGAUAAGAUCAAAAUGUUCCAAAUAGACAAAAUAAUAUCAUGUCAUCUGAUGCCAACUGAAAUGCUUCAACUGAUGAAAAUGUUUACAUUCAAUGAGAAGGCCCAACCACCACUUUUACAGAUGAAAUCAACCACUAAAUUAACUUAUUGUAAUAUGAUCUCUUAUAGACUUUGGUGAUGUUCACCUGUUGACUUUUGGUUAUCAUCAUUGAUCCAAUACCUGUAGGAAAAUGAUCACAGAAUGAGUUUAAUUCAUUUGUUUCUCUGUUUUCUAUCCUCCAUUAGGCCUAAGGAUGAGACACGAUGAUAAUAAUGAAAACUAAAGAUUGGAUUUUCUCUCUCUCUCUCUUUCUAUCAUUCAAACCUCAGAAUCAAUCAGCAAAUCUCAACAUGAUAAAAAUCCAUAGGAAAAGGAAAAUGUUAUUACCAUUGACGAAUCGGUUCUUUUAUCAAUGAACAUGAUUAUUAUUAUGAUUAUCUUCAUAUUUUUCAAGUAACUGUUAUUUUGAUGAAAUUCUAAUGAAAAAAGCAUCUUCCAUUUUGCUCUCUUUUUCAUUACAUACAGAUUCAUCAUCAUGUUAUUCACAAAAAAGAUGCAGUCAAAAAGGAAAGGUACAAAAACAGCAAAGACGGAAUAAUAUCAUUUACAGAGAUGAUAAAAAAAGGAUGAGAAGGAUAAAUCAAAGGAAGACAGAGAAAGAGAAAAGCCAAAAACAGCUAAUAUAAUAUGGAUGAAAUUUCUUGUUUUUCUCUAUCAAUGAAUUGAAGAUUCUGUUAUUUGCUUUUCAUUGACAUUGUUUACAUUGUAACCUGUUGGGACAUUAAUUCGUCUCUCUCCCUUUCUCUCUCGUUGACUACCAUUUCUAUUUAUCUUGAUCAUCAUCUUUCAACAACAACAGGAAUGAAUCAAAUGAUUCCAAUGUUGUUGAUGAUGAUAAUGAUGAUAUACUUACUCUCUCUCUCUCUGUCUCUAUCAUCCUUUUCUUUUUCAGCUACCUGAAUGUAAAUGGAAAAGCCUGCAAAUGGAGAAUCGAAAGAAAAGAAAUAAAGACACAGAGGAAGACAGAAAAGAAAGGAAAAUAAAAGGAGAGAUGAUACAUAACACAGAACAAGUAAAAGAUGAUAAAGAAGAGGGAAAAGCAUAUGAUGAAAGAAGGAGCAAUGGAGUAACAACAACAAAAAAGCCCAAGAGGAGGAUGAUGACGACGAUGAUGAUGAUGAUGAGGAAAAACAUGGAAACAUAUAAAUGUACACAUAUAAUAUUCUCAAGCCUGCAAACCACAUAGGCUGAGAUUGGCUCUAUAGUGAACACUUUUAACUGGAGUGAUGAUGAGGAUGGAGAUGAUUAGCUGUAUAUAUAAUAUUUUCUCUGCUUGGAUUGUUAUAGGGAAUUGUUAUUUUCCACUAUUUCCUUUCUUUCCUCUGUCAGUGUGUCACUUUCCACACUCAAGAUAAUCCAAAAUCGCAAUCAAUUAAUCGAGAGAAACAAGAAGUGCUUAAAAUUAGCGUUUCUCUAAUUCCUUAAUUGCUGCUCAAAUGAAAGAUUAACAUUUUUGUCUAAUUUUUUAAAGUUAAACAAAAAUGAAUCCAUCCUAAGUUGGUAAUGAUGAACCAAUAUUAUCAAGUUUAUCAAAAAGUCUAAACUUAUAUCAUAUGUAUUAUAUUUUUAUACUAAGAUUAGACAAUGAUUUAGAUAAUCGUCUUGAAAAAGAUUUUAUCAACUUUUCCUUUCAUCAACUAUCAAUGUAAUUGCAUUUGCUCAUUGAUCCUGAUGAAAAUCAACUUAUCCCUUUUUACAAUCAUUCAGUUAACUGUUUUUUACCUCUUCAUGUAAACAUCAUCACCACUUUCCAUAUGAAAC
Molecule: long non-coding RNA, 2979 nt
Organism: Panonychus citri (citrus red mite)
Lineage: Eukaryota; Metazoa; Arthropoda; Arachnida; Trombidiformes; Tetranychidae
Exons: 5
Source: RefSeq, a predicted model, not a curated record